UAGCUGGUUCCCUCCGAAGU
This 20-nucleotide small nuclear RNA is filed under the name Arabidopsis thaliana (thale cress). Its description in RNAcentral is "snRNA_02209". Lineage: Eukaryota; Viridiplantae; Streptophyta; Magnoliopsida; Brassicales; Brassicaceae. The record is from RNAcentral.